AUUGAACGCUGGCGGCAGGCCUAACACAUGCAAGUCGAGCGGAGCGGCGGACGGGUGAUUAAUGCCUAGGAAUCUGCCUGGUAGUGGGGGAUAACGUCCGGAAACGGGCGCUAAUACCGCAUACUAUCAGAUGAGCCUAGGUGGGAUUAGCUAGUUGGUGGGGUAAAGGCCUACCAAGGCGACGAUCCGUAAGUGGUCUGAGAGGAUGAUGGGUCACACUGGAACGGAGACACGGUCCAGACUCCUACGGGAGUCAGCAGUGGGGAAUAUUGGGCAAUGGGCGAAAGCCUGAUCCAGCCAUGCCGCGUGUGUGAAGAAGGUCUUCGGAUUGUAAAGCACUUUAGGUUGGGAGGCGUUACCAACAUAAUAAGCACCGGCUAACUUCGUGCCAGCAGCCGCGGUAAUUC
Molecule: ribosomal RNA, 407 nt
Filed under: uncultured bacterium
Lineage: Bacteria
Description: partial 16S ribosomal RNA
Rfam family: Bacterial small subunit ribosomal RNA
Source: RNAcentral